RNAcentral lists this ribosomal RNA (400 nucleotides) under Ostrea edulis (European flat oyster). RNAcentral's name for it is "partial 12S ribosomal RNA". It matches the Rfam family "Bacterial small subunit ribosomal RNA", at positions 875 to 1490 of the family's 1533-position model. Lineage: Eukaryota; Metazoa; Mollusca; Bivalvia; Ostreida; Ostreidae. The record is from RNAcentral.
AGGAGUAUUACGAGCAGCUGCUUAAAACUCGAAGAACUUGGCGGUUCCACAAAACCAUCCAGAGGCUCUUGGCGCUUAAACCGAUGAUCCGCGUGAUAUCUUACCCGCUCUAUAUGGUAAUGUACUGCCGUCGAAAGCUUAUGAUGUGAGUGUAUAAAAAUAGGCUUCAUCUUAGGCAUAGAUUAGAUCUAUGUGCUAAGACUAGGUCAGGUCGAAGUGUUCUUUAUGAGUGAGGGGUUAGCUGAGAGACAAUUUUUAAGAUAUAACAAGCUUUAAAAUGAAAUUUUUAUAGUGAGGCGGAUUUGGGAGUAAAGGGAGAUUAACUCACUCUUUUGAAUAGACGCAACUGUGGUGCGUACAAAUCGCCCGUCACCCUAGCUGAAAGGAGAGGUAAGUCGUA